AGCCAUGCAUGUCUAAGUACAAAUUGUGGUAAAAUGAAACUGCGAAUGGCUCAUUAAAUCAGCUACGGUUAACUGGGUACCCACAGUUACUUGGAUAACUGUGGUAAUUCUAGAGCUAAUACAUGCAACUAUGCCCGCGCCUCACGGCAAGGGUGCUCUUAUUAGAUCAAAACCAACCUGGCUUCGGCUAGCAGUUUUGAUGACUCUGGAUAAUUGGGUGAUCGCAUGACUUAACGUCGGCGACUCGCCUUUCAAAAGUCUGCCCUAUCAACUAUAGAUGGUAUAUAACCUGUGUACCAUGGUGUUCACGGGUAACGGGGAAUCAGGGUUCGAUUCCGGAGAGGGAGCCUGAGAAACAGCUACCACAUCCAAGGAAGGCAGCAGGCGCGCAAAUUACCCACUCUCAAAACGAGGAGGUAGUGACAAAAAAUAACGAUGCGGGACUCAAUCGAGGCCCCGUAAUCGGAAUGAGUACACUUUAAAUCCUUUAACGAGGAUCAAUUGGAGGGCAAGUCUGGUGCCAGCAGCCGCGGUAAUUCCAGCUCCAAUAGCGUAUAUUAAAGUUGUUGCAGUUAAAAAGCUCGUAGUUGGAUCUAAGGAUUUGGGCUAACGGUUUACCUUAUGGUGAUACUGUUGGACCUGCCUAUAAAUGUCGUGGAGGCUAUUAGUGUUCUUAAUUGAGUGCUUUUAGUGCCCGACGCUAUUACUUUGAGAAAAUUAGAGUGCUUAAAGCAGGCAUAAUGCCUGUAUACUGUUGCAUGGAAUAAUAAAAUAAGAGUUUACUUUUAUUUUGUUGGUAUUCGGAAGUGAACUAAUGAUCAAAAGGG
Molecule: ribosomal RNA, 827 nt
Filed under: Pseudomonocelis agilis
Lineage: Eukaryota; Metazoa; Platyhelminthes; Proseriata; Monocelididae
Description: SSU rRNA
Rfam family: Eukaryotic small subunit ribosomal RNA
Source: RNAcentral